Molecule: ribosomal RNA, 465 nt
Filed under: uncultured bacterium
Lineage: Bacteria
Description: partial 16S ribosomal RNA
Rfam family: Bacterial small subunit ribosomal RNA
Source: RNAcentral
GAUGAACGCUGGCGGCGUGCUUAACACAUGCAAGUCGAACGGAAAGGCCCAAGCUUGCUUGGGUACUCGAGUGGCGAACGGGUGAGUAACACGUGAGUGAUCUGCCCUGCACUUCGGGAUAAGCCUGGGAAACUGGGUCUAAUACCGGAUAGGACCACAUUUUGGAUGGUGUGGUGGAAAGUUUUUCGGUGUGGGAUGAGCUCGCGGCCUAUCAGCUUGUUGGUGGGGUAAUGGCCUACCAAGGCGUCGACGGGUAGCCGGCCUGAGAGGGUGUACGGCCACAUUGGGACUGAGAUACGGCCCAGACUCCUACGGGAGGCAGCAGUGGGGAAUAUUGCACAAUGGGCGCAAGCCUGAUGCAGCGACGCCGCGUGGGGGAUGACGGCCUUCGGGUUGUAAACUCCUUUCGCUAGGGACGAAGCGCAAGUGACGGUACCUGGAGAAGAAGCACCGGCUAACUACGUG